CCUACGUGAGGCAGCAGUGAGGAAUAUUGGACAAUGGGCGCGAGCCUGAACCAGCUAAGUAGCGUGAAGGAUGACUGCCCUACGGGUUGUAAACUUCUUUUAUAAAGGAAUAAAGUGAGGCACGUGUGCCUUUUUGUAUGUACUUUAUGAAUAAGGAUCGGCUAACUCCGUGCCAGCAGCCGCGGUAAUACGGAGGGUCCGAGCGUUAUCCGGAUUUAUUGGGUUUAAAGGGAGCGUAGAUGGGUUGUUAAGUCAGUUGUGAAAGUUUGCGGCUCAACCGUAAAAUUGCAAUUGAUACUGGCAGUCUUGAGUACAGUUGAGGUAGGCGGAAUUCGUGGUGUAGCGGUGAAAUGCUUAGAUAUCACGAAGAACUCCGAUUGCGAAGGCAGCUUACUAAACUGCCACUGACAUUGAUGCUCGAAAGUGUGGGUAUCAAACAGGAUUAGAUACCCUAGUAGUC
This 460-nucleotide ribosomal RNA is filed under the name uncultured bacterium. Its description in RNAcentral is "partial 16S ribosomal RNA". It matches the Rfam family "Bacterial small subunit ribosomal RNA", at positions 338 to 795 of the family's 1533-position model. The record is from RNAcentral.